Molecule: ribosomal RNA, 497 nt
Filed under: uncultured bacterium
Lineage: Bacteria
Description: partial 16S ribosomal RNA
Rfam family: Bacterial small subunit ribosomal RNA
Source: RNAcentral
GAUGAACGCUGGCGGCGUGCCUAAUACAUGCAAGUCGAGCGAACAGACGAGGAGCUUGCUCCUCUGACGUUAGCGGCGGACGGGUGAGUAACCCGUGGAUAACCUACCUAUAAGACUGGGAUAACUUCGGGAAACCGGAGCUAAUACCGGAUAAUAUAUUGAACCGCAUGGUUCAAUAGUGAAAGACGGUUUUGCUGUCACUUAUAGAUGGAUCCGCGCCGCAUUAGCUAGUUGGUAAGGUAACGGCUUACCAAGGCAACGAUGCGUAGCCGACCUGAGAGGGUGAUCGGCCACACUGGAACUGAGACACGGUCCAGACUCCUACGGGAGGCAGCAGUAGGGAAUCUUCCGCAAUGGGCGAAAGCCUGACGGAGCAACGCCGCGUGAGUAAUGAAGGUCUUCGGAUCGUAAAACUCUGUUAUUAGGGAAGAACAAAUGUGUAAGUAACUAUGCACGUCUUGACGGUACCUAAUCAGAAAGCCACGGCUAACUACGUG